UACAGAUCGUAGAGUUUGAUCCUGGCUCAGAUUGAACGCUGGCGGCAUGCCUUACACAUGCAAGUCGAACGGCAGCACGGGGGCAACCCUGGUGGCGAGUGGCGAACGGGUGAGUAAUAUAUCGGAACGUGCCCUGGAGUGGGGGAUAACGUAGUGAAAGUUACGCUAAUACCGCAUACGAUCUAAGGAUGAAAGUGGGGGAUCGCAAGACCUCAUGCUCCUGGAGCGGCCGAUAUCUGAUUAGCUAGUUGGUAGGGUAAAAGCCUACCAAGGCGACGAUCAGUAGCUGGUCUGAGAGGACGACCAGCCACACUGGGACUGAGACACGGCCCAGACUCCUACGGGAGGCAGCAGUGGGGAAUUUUGGACAAUGGGGGGCAACCCUGAUCCAGCAAUGCCGCGUGUGUGAAGAAGGCCUUCGGGUUGUAAAGCACUUUUGUCAGGAACGAAACGGGCUGGGUUAAUACCUUGGUCUAAUGACGGUACCUGAAGAAUAAGCACCGGCUAACUACGUGCCAGCAGCCGCGGUAAU
RNAcentral lists this ribosomal RNA (532 nucleotides) under uncultured Oxalobacteraceae bacterium. RNAcentral describes it as "bacterial SSU rRNA". It matches the Rfam family "Bacterial small subunit ribosomal RNA", at positions 1 to 524 of the family's 1533-position model. Lineage: Bacteria; Pseudomonadati; Pseudomonadota; Betaproteobacteria; Burkholderiales; Oxalobacteraceae. The record is from RNAcentral.